AGUGAACGCUGGCGGUAGGCCUAACACAUGCAAGUCGAACGGCAGCACAGUAAGAGCUUGCUCUUACGGGUGGCGAGUGGCGGACGGGUGAGGAAUACAUCGGAAUCUACUUUUUCGUGGGGGAUAACGUAGGGAAACUUACGCUAAUACCGCAUACGACCUACGGGUGAAAGCAGGGGAUCUUCGGACCUUGCGCGAUUGAAUGAGCCGAUGUCGGAUUAGCUAGUUGGCGGGGUAAAGGCCCACCAAGGCGACGAUCCGUAGCUGGUCUGAGGGGAUGAACAGCCACACUGGAACUGAGACACGGUCCAGACUCCUACGGGAGGCAGCAGUGGGGAAUAUUGGACAAUGGGCGCAAGCCUGAUCCAGCCAUACCGCGUGGGUGAAGAAGGCCUUCGGGUUGUAAAGCCCUUUUGUUGGGAAAGAAAAGCAGCAGGUUAAUACCCCGCUGUUCUGACGGUACCCAAAGAAUAAGCACCGGCUAACUUCGUG
Molecule: ribosomal RNA, 492 nt
Filed under: uncultured bacterium
Lineage: Bacteria
Description: partial 16S ribosomal RNA
Rfam family: Bacterial small subunit ribosomal RNA
Source: RNAcentral